AUUAAAGAGAAGAGACUGUUGUGCCUUGUGAGAGUUACGUUGUUAGUUUCUCCUCAGUCACACUAAUGACUAUCUCAUUUAGUGAAAGUUUUUGGAGAACAUGCACAUGCACAGGGUUGCCUAUUCUACAAAGAAAAACAAACACAGAGAAAUUAAAUUAUUGAAGAUCAUAUAUUGAUCGGUUAGGACUUGGAGUAUCCAAGUUUUUACUUCACCAAAAUAUCAUCAUGAAUACACCAACUUACUUUUCACUUUCAGUCGCACUGAGGAUUGGGCAUAAAACCAUAAAUUACAUCAAACUAAAAAAUAAUUUAUUUUCAACUUCACUCUUCUUCACUUCUUUUUCUAUUAAUAUAUGAAACAAGUACAAAAAUAUUAAAGACUGCACUUCAUCUCUCCUAUUCUAUUUGUUUAUCUUUCUUUCAAAUGUCUCAAAACUAUUUUUUGUUUACAUUCUUUAACAUCUGAUACUGUUAUUUUUCUUAUAUAUAUAUAUAUUUUUUAAUUUGUUAUUUUUCUUAUAUAUAUAUAUAUAUUUUAAUUGUCACGAUUUCUCAUUAUUUUUUUAAUAUUAAAAUUCAUGGAAUAUCAUUCUAAAAUAAAAAAAUAAAAAUUAAUAUUAAAUAAAAAGUAUCAAAAAAUGUUCUUAAUCUGUGAAAGCCAAAUAAGAAGAAAAAAUUUUGGAUGAAAGGAGUAUUAUCACAUGAAUUAAAAAAAAAUUAUGCCAUAAUAAGGUUAUUAUCAUAUUUACUUCAAGCAAUUACACAUGAGUGUGUGUAUGUAUGAAUGGAAACUAGCAUGUUAUGAUUUGUACAAAAAACAAUUAUUAGUUGUACCUCAUUAAGCAUUUAUCUCAAUGAUAAAUGUAUGUAACUUUUAAUCAAAGAGUUACAUUUGGAUCCCUUUCUUUCAAAUGGAAAAAUAAAAAAUUUAUUGAAACUGUAGUACGAGUAUAGCUACUUAGAUUUAUUUUAAAGUAAUUGGAUGUAUAUAUGGAAUAAAUUUAUGCAGGCAAUGAAACGAAAAAUGUUGUUCGUCUGAUCGCAAAUUGUUUCUGCUCUAUGGGGCAUAAAAAGAAAUAGUCUUAAGAGUCGUUUCCAUAUAUAAAGUAAACCAUGCUGGCUCCAUUGAUUCUAGGCUUGGAUUACUAUUUUUGUCACAAUUAAAUUAAGACUUGUUCCGCUGAGCACCGUUGGCAUUUGGUAUUGUCACAACCCAAAUCCGAGAUUAUAAAGUAUCAAUGGGAGUGACCCUCUUAAUCCAUGCAAGCCUAAUGAUGAACAAUAAACCAAUAAACAUAUGUGCCUCAUAGGAAUCAUCACCAUAGAAUCAUAUGUAAGCAGGUAUAAACAUGAUUAUAUCAUAUAUAAGAAAAUACCAUAUCCAUCUACACGUGAGCGUGCUCAUGAUGUGGAAGAAACAUACAUAAUAACCCAAGUGUAAGCCAUGCUCAUGGCAAUCAUCCAUAAUAUCAAUUAUUACAUAUUAUAAUCCGAGUCAAAAUCCAUUAGUCAAGUAUGAAAGACUAAACCAGACCAAACCAAACCUAGCGAAGUACAGCACAAGUAAAAGGGCUGACACCUACUAGAUGCCAUAACGAUCAUGCACCAACAUUGACUGUAAAAGUAGCUCAUUGCCAAAGGACAACAAGCCAAGCAAUCUACUAAUCUAAAAUCUAACGUGUGAGUUAUAAAUAACUUCAUGAGUAGAUACGGAGAAGGGGAACAAGCUAAUGGGGAAGAAUAUUUAACAAAAUACACUUUUAGAAAUAUGCAAAUAAACAUUUAUCAAAUGUUUUGUACAACCUGCCUUUCCAGGCAUAACCAUAAAUUAACACCUACCUUUCUAAGCAUAAUUAUAAAUCGAGUCUCGCUUUUCCAAGCGUCAUUAUAUGACAAUCCCACAUUAUGAAGCGUGUCAAAUAUCCAAAUGGUCUUUAAGUCUGUUGUCUUUCAAACAAAUCGAGGAACGUAUGUCCAUAUAACCUCCAAGACUGUUGUCAUUCAAACGAUGCAAGGAUAACAAAAUGUUUUAUAAAACAUAGUUUGUAAAAUAGUUCACAAGCAUUUAAAAUAACACUAAAUGUUUGGAAACCAAUUCAAGAAGUUUGAUUAAAAUUGAGUUAAACAAUCAGUUUAAGAGUGUUUGAAACAUAAAUCGAGAUUUUCAUGGAUUUGGUUUUAAAACAGAUUCAUUUUCCUCUUUAGAAAACCUUUUGAAAACGUUCAAGUUUCAAAAUAAGCCUGAUCUAUUGAUACAUGAGUCCCAUGUAUCGAUAGAUUUCAAGCAGAAUGCAAAUCCAUCGUUUUUGUGUUGAAUCUAUCAAUACAUGGAUGCAAUGUAUCAAUAUAUUUGAUACAAAAUGCACAUUUUUAGCUUAGAACUCAUCACUAGGACCUCAACCAAGACUAAUAUUCAUCCAUAGUCAAGUAAUCCAUAUUCAAACAUCAGAUAAACCUUAUCCAUGAUACAAAUUCAUCACAUUAGACAUCAAGUCAAACAAAUCGAGGAGCACUAGCUAAGAACAAAAUAAUCACCUAAUGUCGUCACACUAGAAAGGUCUAGUCACCGACCACAAAGGAAAAGGUAGAACUUUGUUAACUACCAAUACCCAACAAGUCUCAAGAAAUUACCUCUCUGGCUCAAGUUGUAAAUUAUUGUGCACAAUGGCUAGCAUUGCUGUCACUAACUAUAGGUCCUUAUCUUGAUAAGCUUCAAUAACCACAUUACAACUAUCCAAUGCUCAAAAUAUACAUACAAUCAAAAGGUGAAACCCAUCACCAACAUAUAAUAGAGAUUAAGACAUAACCAAAGCUGGAGUCAAUUAACCAUAUCAAUAAUCUCAAAAUAAAUGACCAUAAAUACCAUGGUCUCAUCAAGGUGCAAUCAUUUCUCACAUCACAUUCAAAACCAUCAAUCAUACAUCGAUCAUAGACAAAUGAGAUGUUUGAAAUGUCAAAGCUUUGAAAGGCUUGUUCCCAAUGCUCAAAACUAAUACAUAAUAGACUAUAUAUAUGCUUAGUCUAUAGUUUUUAUCAAAACAUACUUGUAAACCUUUGUUCAUAGCACAAAGUUAUUGAUGGUGGUCCCAAUUAUAUGUGCUAGAGGGGGUGAAUAGCACAAAUCGGCUCUUGACAAGAUGAGGAACUAAGUUUUAGAACAAAGAAAAUAAAAACAGAGUAGAUAAUGCGCAGGAAUUUAGAAUGGUUCGUUCCAAGACCUACAUCCACUACCUUGAUUAUCCAACCAAGGAUUUUUCAAACAAUUCCACUAAGAACCGGUGAAAUUCACAAGCUUUCACCAAGCUUUACAAUAGCUUUUACCAGGCUCAGCCAAAACAUUUCACAAUAUUUUUUCACGGGCUAAACUAAAAUCCAACACCUAACUUUUCGAGGAUAAGUUAGAACCUUAACACAUUCAAGCAAACCUAGCUUGAAACAACCACUUAGAGUAACUCCCUUACUCUAAGAAUGCAAGAAGAAAAGUAAAAGAAAGUACCUAUGAUCACAAGGUUGAUCUAAAUGGUACAAGGUUGAGUGUAGAAUACAAAUACAAAAGAUUGGAGUUUAAGUGCAAAAAUGUGUAGAGGAGAUUUUCUAGUUUUUCAGCUCUAUAUGACUCAAAUCUCUUCUAAAACUUCCAAAGAACUCAUUUCUAACCGUUGGAAGACCCUUUUAUGCUUGGAGAAACAGCUCUUAUGGCAGUUUGGUAGUUUAUGGUUGUUGAAAACAGUUGAGAGUUGGUUCUAGCUGUUAAUCUAUCUUCUAGUGCUCUGGUUCAAAUUGUAGACAGAGAGCUCUUAGUAGACUAACUUUCUUCUUGGUCGACUAAGUUGGUUUUGUCUUCUGGUCACAGAUUCUAGCAAAGAGCAUUUAGUCGACUAACUCAUUCUUAGUCUACUAAGUUGGUUUUGUCUUGAAGUCCAAAUUUUGGCAGAGAGCAUUUAGUUAACUAACUUACAUCUUGGUCGACUAAGUCGGUUUUGUUGCUCAAUAUUCUUUAGCUUGGCAUUUCUCGAAUUUGAAUCUUAGCCAACCAACAUUCUUUUUUAUUCAACUAAGGAGCUUCCUUCUCGCUAAUCGAUCAUGUCUCCUUAUUUUUAUCCUCAUUUUUCUUUUGAUAUACACUUUGAAAGAUUGAUUUAUUAAUUUCAUACAUUAUUUGUCCUACACACUCAAGUAGAAAAAUUAAACACAAAUGAAUGGGAAUAUUUUAUUAUCAUCAAAAACUAAUGAAGCCAACAAUCUCCCCCUUUUUGAUUAUGACAAAACAUUCCUUGAUUAACAACACAGUGUCCUUAUAUUCUUUUUAGUUUAUGCAACAAAUGAGGAUUGCUCCCCCUAAGUAUGUUCUCCCCCUUAGUGUGUGCAUAUUUUGCUUAUUUAUUUCAGCAAAUUUUAUUCAUGUCAUAUAAAAAAUGACACUGUACAUUCAGAGUAUAUAUAUAUAUGCAGAACUUUAAAGUGAUUUACAGCAGGUGAAUGUUGAUAGAUUAUCAUAAAAAAUUCAGCAGAGUUUGUCAACAACAUAUUUUCAUCAAAUUUUGUCUAUGCCAUUCAUGAUUCAAUUGAUACACUAUACACAGCAUCCAUAUUUAUUUUCAAGCACAAUUUAUUCACAAUGUCAUAACAAAAAUCAGUUAUCAGCAUACAAUCCCAGCAUCAGAUUUUUAUCAACAGUAGUCAAAAUAUCAUAGACAAGAAAAUAUCAGCAAAUAUUCAAUUUUCAGCAGUCAAAUACCAUAAACAUAUCAGCAUCCAUUUUUCACACAACCAUAUAAUCAACAAAAUUAAAUUCAAGUGUUCAAAAUGCCAUCAUGGCACAAAUAGCAAAUAACCAUAAAUUUAUCAGUUGAUGUUCCGAAACUGCCCUUAUAGAGUUUUUACUUCCUAUCUCCCUAAGUUUCCCAUAAUUUCUCCUUUAAAAUCCUACCAUUUCCUAUCUAUCCCCCUACUACUAUCUUCUAAUUCUCUCCCCCUUUUUGUCAUCAUCAACCUUUAAUCUUCUUCAUAUGAGGAGGUUGAGGAGGAGGAUUCUUUAGUGGCGUAUUUGAAAUCUAAAGGUUGAGGAGAUGAUUCUGGAGGUAAUUCUUGGGUAAAGGGAUCAGGUAAGGGUGUGUCAGACACUUCAAGCGGUUCCUAUGGAGAAGAAGCUGUUGCUGGCUUGGACUUUUUUGCCAAUUUGGAGGACUUCUCUCUUUUGAGGAAUGUUGUUUUUGUUGUCAUUGUUUUCUUCCCUUUGGCAAGUGGUUUUGUCUUUAUCUGUUGUGCUGUAGUGACUUUUUCUUUCCUUUUUUCAAAUUUUUCUUUCACUCUAGAGGCUAGUGCAGAUGUAUCUUGCUGAGCUUCUACCUUGGCAACUUCCUUUUCAACCUAUUCUUCCCUAACCAUUUGGUAGAAGAUAUCCAUAAUGGAUACUUCUUCUGAAUUUGGAGGGGAGGGUCUCAGGUUCUGAAAAAGCAUUUUCAUCUGGUGAACCUAGCACUUUUGUUCCUUGUUUUGAUUUAUCUUUGCUUUGGUGUUCAAGUGAGAGGGCCUUAGCUGGUUGAUCAACACUAGGGUGAGAGUCCUCUGUCUAAAGGACAGGGCGACAGUUUUGUAAGUGGAGCCUUCAGCUUGAACACUUUAACUUACUCCAUAUGAGCAAACACUUUUGCUUGCAAAGCUGAACCCUCAGCAAACACAUGUCUAUACGUUAAGCAAAAAUUCAGAUUUCACACCAAAAUUUUUCAUUUAAUUUCUAGCCUCAUCAAACAUCAAAUAUCACCAAAAUAUCAUAAAAUAUCAUCAAUUUCAGCCAUAAUAUCUGCCCUAGAAAAUUUGGCCAAUGAUGGGUAAUGGGAGAAAAUGAAUUUUUCUUGUUGGUUUGUUUCUAGAUAUGAUAAACUAACUAAAAACACUAACAUAACUUAGAAUCAAAUCAAUCCAACUUCAUUCUCUCUCCAUACCCAUUCCAACCAGCCAUGAAUUCACCAUGAAAACAUGAAAUCUAACCAUAGAAAAUGAAAAAGAAAGCAUGGGUAGUGUAAAUCACAAGUCAAAAUCAAGAAAUUUUACCUUUAUUAGCUUAAUCCCUUGAAAUCCCACACUUUUUCUUCAAUUUUCCCACCUAAGGUUCUUGUUUUUGUUCCUUUCCUCCUUUGUUCUUCUUUGGCCGGCCAUAUGAAUGAGAAAUUGGC
RNAcentral lists this long non-coding RNA (6178 nucleotides) under Theobroma cacao (cacao). RNAcentral describes it as "long non-coding RNA (TCAC_LNC005551)". Lineage: Eukaryota; Viridiplantae; Streptophyta; Magnoliopsida; Malvales; Malvaceae. The record is from RNAcentral.